CAGCAGCCGCGGGAAAACGAAGGGGGCUAGCGUUGUUCGGAAUCACUGGGCGUAAAGGGUGCGUAGGCGGAUUCUUAAGUCAGGGGUGAAAUCCCGAGGCUCAACCUCGGAACUGCCUUUGAUACUGGGGAUCUUGAGUCCGGAAGAGGUGAGUGGAACUGCAAGUGUAGUGGUGAAAUUCGUAGAUAUUCGCAAGAACACCGGUGGCGAAGGCGGCUCACUGGUCCGGAACUGACGCUGUGGCACGACAGCGUGGGGAGCAAACAGGAUUAGAUACCCCCGUAGUCCCUGUCUCUUAUCC
RNAcentral lists this ribosomal RNA (301 nucleotides) under uncultured bacterium. Its description in RNAcentral is "partial 16S ribosomal RNA". It matches the Rfam family "Bacterial small subunit ribosomal RNA", at positions 509 to 809 of the family's 1533-position model. The record is from RNAcentral.